UUAUAAUUAGUUUAAACUAAAAUAUGUUGCUUCUAACUACAUGAACCUUUUUUCUGGAUUAUAAA
Molecule: transfer RNA, 65 nt
Filed under: Clavelina lepadiformis (light-bulb sea squirt)
Lineage: Eukaryota; Metazoa; Chordata; Ascidiacea; Aplousobranchia; Clavelinidae
Description: tRNA-Gly
Source: RNAcentral